Molecule: ribosomal RNA, 443 nt
Filed under: uncultured bacterium
Lineage: Bacteria
Description: partial 16S ribosomal RNA
Rfam family: Bacterial small subunit ribosomal RNA
Source: RNAcentral
CCUACGGGUGGCAGCAGUGGGGAAUAUUGGGCAAUGGGCGCAAGCCUGACCCAGCAACGCCGCGUGAAGGAAGAAGGCUUUCGGGUUGUAAACUUCUUUUCUCAGGGACGAAGCAUGUGACGGUACCUGAGGAAUAAGCCACGGCUAACUACGUGCCAGCAGCCUCGGGAAUACGUAGGUGGCAAGCGUUAUCCGGAUUUACUGGGUGUAAAGGGAGAGUAGGCGGGAAAGCAAGUCAGAUGUGAAAACCAUGGGCUCAACCGGUGGUCUGCAUUUGAAACUGUUUUUCUUGAGUACUGGGGAGGUAGACGGAAUUCCUGGUGUAGCGGUGAAAUGCGUAGAUAUUAGGAGGAACACCGGUGGCGAAGGCGGUCUGCUGAACAGCAACUGACGCUGAGGCGCGAAAGCGUGGGGAGCAAACAGGAUUAGAUACCCGAGUAGUC